RNAcentral lists this ribosomal RNA (251 nucleotides) under uncultured bacterium. RNAcentral's name for it is "partial 16S ribosomal RNA". It matches the Rfam family "Bacterial small subunit ribosomal RNA", at positions 87 to 339 of the family's 1533-position model. The record is from RNAcentral.
AAGACCUAGUGGCGAACGGGUGAGGAACACGUGAGAAAUUUGCCCCGAACUUUGGGAUAACAGUUGGAAACGACUGCUAAUACCGAAUGCCGUUACGAGGUGGCAUCACUUUGUAACGAAAGAAUUUCGGUUCGGGAGAAUCUCGCGGCCUAUCAGCUUGUUGGUGAGGUAACGGCUCACCAAGGCUACGACGGGUAGCUGGUCUGAGAGGAUGAUCAGCCACACUGGAACUGAGACACGGUCCAGACUCC